This 94-nucleotide transfer RNA is filed under the name Lentisphaerota bacterium. Its description in RNAcentral is "Lentisphaerae bacterium (marine metagenome) tRNA-Ser". It matches the Rfam family "tRNA". From Rfam's summary of the family: Transfer RNA (tRNA) molecules are approximately 80 nucleotides in length. Their secondary structure includes four short double-helical elements and three loops (D, anti-codon, and T loops). The record is from RNAcentral. Lineage: Bacteria; Pseudomonadati; Lentisphaerota.
GGAGAGGUGGCUGAGUGGCUGAAAGCGGCGGAUUGCUAAUCCGUUGUCCUGGUGUAAACCGGGACCGGGGGUUCGAAUCCCCCCCUCUCCGCCA